UUUUUUUUUUUUUUUGAGACGGAGUUGCCUAGGCUGGCGUGCAGUGGCACCAUCUCAGCUCAAAACAACCUAUGCCUCCCGGGUUUAUGCAAUUCUCCUGCCUCAGCCUCCCCAGUAGCUGGGACUACAGGUGCGCACCACUAUGCCUGGCUAAUUUUUGCAUUUUUAGUAGAGACGGGGGUUUCACUAUGUUGGCCAGGCUGCUCUCGAACUCCUGACCUCAUGAUCUGCCUGCCUUGGCCUCCCAAAGUGCUGGGAUUACAGGUGUGAGCCACCGUGCUUGACCCAUGAUUAGGUCUUUAGGGCAGAGCUCUCAUGAAUGGGAUUGGUGCCCUUAUAAAAUACAGGUUGAGUAUCCCUAAUCUGAAAAUCCAAAAUCUAAAAUGCUGCAAAAUCUGAAACUUUCUGUCAAUGUGAUACUCGAAAGGAAAUGCUCCCUGGAGCAUUUCGGAUUUGAAAUGUUUGGAUUAGGGAUGCUUAACUGGUAGACCCAUCUCUGUAAAAACAAAACAGCCAGCUGUGGUGGUAUGCCUGUACUCCCAGCUACUCAGGAGGCUAAGGUGGAAGGACAGCUUGAGCUCAUGAGUUUGAGGCUGCAGUGGGUCAUGAUCAUGCCACUGUAUUCCAACCUGGAUGGCAAAGUGAGAUGCCCCCAUGGGAAAAAAACCCACAACCCCAACAGAAAGUAGAUUAGUGGUUGUCUAGGGCUUGGGUGGGGGAUGGGGCAUGGAGUGAAUGCUAAUUGAGGCUGGGGUUUCUUUUUGUUCUAAAAAUGAUUGUGGUGAUGGUUGCAGAACUCUGAAUACACUAGAAGUCAUUAUAUUGUACAUUAAAUGGGGACAUUUUAUAGCAUGUUAACUGUAUCUCAAUAAAACUGUUAAAAAGGAAAUGCUAAUGGAAUUUGGAUACAUUUCCACUUAUUUGGUAUAUGCCAUUUAUUUUGUUUUAUUUUACAAACACUUACAUGGUCUUACUAUGUGCCAAGUACUGCGUUCCAAACGCUUUAUAAAUGUGAACGUAUUUCAUCCUCAUAACUCUGUCAAGUGGAUACUAUUGCUAUCUCCAUUUUACACAGGUACAGAGAGGUGAAGUAACUUACCUAAGGUCUUCCAGUUAAAAAUGGCAGUCAGGAUUUGAACCCUGCCAGUCUGGCUUCAGAGUCUGUGAUCUUUAUUUAUUUUUCAAGAGAUAGGGUCUUGCUAUGUUGCCCAAGCUGGAGUGCAGAGUUAGUCACAGGCAUGAUCCCAUUACUGAUGAGCAUGGGAGUUUUGACUUGCUCCAUUUCUGACCUGAGUUGCUUCACUCCUCCUUAGGUAACAUGGUGGUCCCUGGCUCUUGUGCGGUCACCAUAUUGAUGCCAAACUGAGGACACCCAAUGCUCGUUGUGUACUACAGCCAAGAACUCCUGAGCUCAGGUGAUUCUGCUUCAGCUUCACUAGUAGCUAGGACUGUAGACCUGUGCCACCAAGCCAAGCCAGAGUCUGUGAUCUAACCAUUCUAUUAAGCCACCUUUCCCAAGGACGUUUACAGUUUUUCUUAACUGUAACCAGUGCAGAAAAUUAAAAAUUCGUGGAGGAUCUUAAAUUUGAGGACAGAGUUUAGGAAUAUAUCCCUACGUACAUGGCUAAAUGUAAAUAUGUAGCAAUGCCUAAUAGAGGCCAGGCACUGUUCUGGUACUCUGGGUAGGGGUGGAUAGGGAAUAUAAGACAAAUGAUAUAGGGUCCACGAAGAACUCUCAACCUAAUUCAGAUGCAAUGUGGUGUUGGUAUUUGAGAGUUUCCAAAAAUGUUCUGGGUAGGAGAGCAAAACAAUAACAUUUGGGUUUUAGAAAGUAAGGCAUAAAACAAUUUAGUCAUUAAAUCAAAGGCGGUAAGAUCAGUUGGGAAAGUGAUAAUCCAAAAAUAGUAGUUAUUUGAGUCUCAGCAGGAGGAAUGAAAACAAAUUACUUCAAGGAAAUAUUUCAUAAUUAGAAAUAUCCAGGUUUAGAUACUGAAAGUGAGGGCCAGAGAUAGGAAUGGGUUGAAGAUGACUCUACAGUCUUUUUUUUUUUUUUUUUUGAGCCGGAGUCUCACUCUGUCGCCCAGGCUGGCACAGUGGCGCGAUCUCAGCUCACGGUAACCUCUGCCUCCCGGGUUCAAGCGA
Long non-coding RNA from Macaca fascicularis (crab-eating macaque), 2142 nucleotides. NCBI's taxonomy places the organism in Eukaryota, Metazoa, Chordata, Mammalia, Primates, Cercopithecidae. The record is from Ensembl.